GGUCAAGUGAAUAAGCGCAUACGGUGGAUGCCUUGGCGGUAGGAGGCGAAGAAGGACGUGGUAGUCUGCGAAAAGCUUCGGGGAGCUGACAAGCGAGCGUUGAUCCGGAGGUAUCCGAAUGGGGAAACCUGACUGUCAAAAGGCAGUCAUUAGCAUCUGAAUACAUAGGAUGCUAAAGCGAACCUAGGGAACUGAACCAUCUAAGUACCUAGAGGAAAAGAAAUCAACCGAGAUUCCCUUAGUAGUGGCGAGCGAACGGGGGUUAGCCUAAAAGUCAACAAAGUGCUAGUGGAGCAAUCUGGAAAGUUUGGCCAUAGACGGUGAUAGCCCGGUACACGAAAGAGUUUUGUUGAUGAAUGUUGAGUAGGGCGGGACACGUGUUAUCCUGUCUGAAGAAGGGGGGCCCACCCUCCAAGGCUAAAUACUACCUACCGACCGAUAGUGAACGAGUACCGUGAGGGAAAGGUGAAAAGAACCCCGUAAAGGGGAGUGAAAUAGAAUCUGAAACCGUAUGCGUACAAGCAGUGGGAGCAUCUUUUAAGAUGUGACUGCGUACCUUUUGUAUAAUGGGUCAGCGAGUUACUUUCAGUGGCGAGGUUAACCGUUAGGGGAGCCGAAGGGAAACCGAGUCUGAAUAGGGCGAAUUAGUCGCUGUGAGUAGACCCGAAACCGGGCGAUCUAGCCAUGGCCAGGGUGAAGGUAGGGUAGUUCCUACUGGAGGCCCGAACCCACUAACGUUGAAAAGUUAGGGGAUGAGUUGUGGUUAGGAGUGAAAGGCUAAUCAAGCUCGGAGAUAGCUGGUUCUCCCCGAAAACUAUUUAGGUAGUGCCUCAUAUAUCACUCUUGGGGGUAGAGCACUGUUUCGACUAGGGGGGCGUCUAGUCUUACCAAAUCGAGGCAAACUUCGAAUACCGAGAAGUGUAAUUAUGGGAGACACACGGCGGGUGAUAAGGUUCGUCGUGGAAAGGGAAACAGCCCAGACCGUCAGCUAAGGUCCCUAAAUUAUUGCUUAGUGGGAAACGAUGUGGGAAGGCAGAAACAGCCAGGAGGUUGGCUUAGAAGCAGCCAUCCUUUAAAGAAAGCGUAAUAGCUCACUGGUCGAGUCGGCCUGCGCGGAAGAUGUAACGGGGCUAAAGCAAUAUACCGAAGCUGCGGGUACAAGCUUUCUAAGGGAAGUUUGUGCGGUAGGGGAGCGUUCCGUAGGCUGUUGAAGGUGUACCGAGAGGUAUGCUGGAGGUAUCGGAAGUGCGAAUGCUGACAUGAGUAACGAUAAAGGGGGUGAGAGGCCCCCUCGCCGAAAACCCAAGGGUUCCUGCGCAACGUUAAUCGACGCAGGGUGAGUCGGCUCCUAAGGCGAGGCCGAGAGGCGUAGUCGAUGGGAAACCGGUUAAUAUUCCGGUACCUGACAUAACUGCGAUGGGGUGACGGAGAAGGCUAGGCUAGCCGGGUGUUGGAAGUCCUGGUUUAAGCAAGUAGGAAGUGCUCUUAGGUAAAUCCGGGAGCACCUAUUCUGAGACGUGAUGACGAGCCCUCUUUUAGAGGGUGAAGUAGUUGAUGCCCAGCUUCCAAGAAAAACCUCUAAGCAUCAGGUUAUGUGAGACCGUACUCUAAACCGACACAGGUGGGUAGGGUGAGAAUCCUAAGGCGCUUGAGAGAACUCGGGUGAAGGAACUCAGCAAAUUGGCACCGUAACUUCGGGAGAAGGUGUGCCUCUGGUAGGUGAAGAGCCUUGCGCUUGGAGCCGAUAGAGGUUGCAGUGACCAGGUGGCUGCGACUGUUUAUUAAAAACACAGCACUCUGCAAACUCGUAAGAGGAAGUAUAGGGUGUGACGCCUGCCCGGUGCCGGAAGGUUAAUUGAUGGGGUCAGCCGUAAGGUGAAGCUCUUGAUCGAAGCCCCGGUAAACGGCGGCCGUAACUAUAACGGUCCUAAGGUAGCGAAAUUCCUUGUCGGGUAAGUUCCGACCUGCACGAAUGGCGUAACGAUGGCCACACUGUCUCCACCCGAGACUCAGUGAAAUUGAAUUGGCUGUGAAGAUGCAGUGUACCUGCGGCAAGACGGAAAGACCCCGUGAACCUUUACUAUAGCUUUGCACUGGAUUUUGAAUCUGCUUGUGUAGGAUAGGUGGGAGGUGAUGAAGCCGGGACGCCAGUUUCGGUGGAGCCGACCUUGAAAUACCACCCUAGUACAUUUGGAAUUCUAACCUAGAUCCGUUAUCCGGGUCGGGGACAGUGCAUGGUGGGUAGUUUGACUGGGGCGGUCUCCUCCUAAAGGGUAACGGAGGAGCGCGAAGGUACCCUCAGCGCGGUCGGAAAUCGCGUGUUGCGUGCAAAGGCAAAAGGGUGCUUGACUGCGAGACGGACAGGUCGAGCAGGGUCGAAAGACGGUCUUAGUGAUCCGGUGGUUCUUUGUGGAAGGGCCAUCGCUCAACGGAUAAAAGGUACUCCGGGGAUAACAGGCUGAUACCGCCCAAGAGUUCAUAUCGACGGCGGUGUUUGGCACCUCGAUGUCGGCUCAUCACAUCCUGGGGCUGUAGCCGGUCCCAAGGGUAUGGCUGUUCGCCAUUUAAAGUGGUACGCGAGCUGGGUUUAGAACGUCGUGAGACAGUUCGGUCCCUAUCUGCCGUAGGCGUUGGAGAUUUGAGAGGGGCUGCUCCUAGUACGAGAGGACCGGAGUGGACGGACCUCUGGUGUUCCGGUUGUCACGCCAGUGGCAUUGCCGGGUAGCUAUGUCCGGACGGGAUAACCGCUGAAAGCAUCUAAGCGGGAAGCCCUCCUCAAGAUGAGAUCUCCCUGAGCCUAUAAGGUUCCUAAAGGGUCGUUGGAGACGACAACGUUGAUAGGCGGGGUGUGGAAGCGCAGUAAUGUGUGAAGCUAACCCGUACUAAUAGCCCGUGAGUCUUGACCAUAU
This 2909-nucleotide ribosomal RNA is filed under the name Candidatus Nitrosoglobus terrae. RNAcentral's name for it is "bacterial LSU rRNA". It matches the Rfam family "Bacterial large subunit ribosomal RNA". The record is from RNAcentral. Lineage: Bacteria; Pseudomonadati; Pseudomonadota; Gammaproteobacteria; Chromatiales; Chromatiaceae.